GCCGAGGAGCUGGAAGCUCGGAAGCUCCCUUGCAAUCAAUACGGCAAUGGCCGACGUCGUACGGCAGUCAGGGCUCGACUUCGGACGAAAACGCAUCAGGCAAAAAUCCCAGCGACGCUUUGGCACUCCUUUGCAGUCUGUCUGAGGGGACGCAUUAUACCGCGAAACUGCACCGGUCAGCAGCUUUCCAAAAGUACCGAAGGAUCCUCGGAAAGGAUGCGCUGCUGCUGAAUCCUCCGAGGUGUUCUGCAGGGUCGAGCGAACCCCGCAGGGAUAACUGACCGUGCCCAACGGUGGGAAUUGACCCAGGCAUCGGUCGCAUUGGCGCGCCGAGGUUCGAAAACGGCAGGGUACGAAGCGCGAAACCACCCCUAAACGGAGUCACCCCUUCCUCGCGAUUUAACAUCCUUCUCGAAAGCUGCGAAAGCACUCGCAGGACUUCGACUCGGUUCGAAGACGAACGCGGUGACUUUUGUCUCUCGGUACACGUUUCCGAGUCGGGCUGAAACACCGGGGGUAGCUUGAAAUCCGGGAAAACGGAAAUCCGAUCGAGCCUGAUUCCCGGUAAAAGGAACCGAGAUCCGAUAUUCCCGGAGGGAAUCGUCGGGCGAAGCACGUGCCGGGUGUCUGGGGAUAUUUGGGCGACGAAGCUCGGUAUCACGGUCGGAUUUUUGGGCUCUGUGAACGCUGAAAGGAUCCUCCAUCUCGUUUUCGGGGGUAGCCGCAAGUCCGACGGGAAUUUACAAAAACACUCUCAAAACGGCAACCCGGCGACGCGAUUCGAGGGCCCCGCCAACCACCGAGCGAGACCGCGAACGAGCCAAGGGUCCGGUUCCCUUAAUUCUACCGCUCCGGAAGGCAUUGCGACCCGUGAAAUGGAGGAGAAAUCAUCGGCCCGAUUUUCAGAGUACCUCUUUGCCAAAAUGGGCGGGCAGGACGUCCUGGCCUCGCAGGGUCCCCGCAAGGUGACAGCCGACACGAGGAAGUGGAUUCAGGACAACCUUCUCCUCCUCAUCACAUUGUCGGGUGUUCUGCUUGGCGUCAUCCUCGGCUUCGGAUUGCGACCCCUUGAACUAGGCGGCAAUGCAGUAAUGCUGAUCAGCUACCCCGGAGAGCUGUUUAUGAGACUACUCAAGCUGAUGAUUCUGCCCCUGGUAAUAGCCAGCCUAAUAUCGGGGUCGGCGAGUCUGAACGCUCGAAUGAACGGCAAGAUUGCGGUGAGAACGCUGGUCUACUUCAUCCUGACAUCUCUCUUCAACGCCAUACUCGGAGUGGCUUUAGUCAUAGCGAUUCACCCGGGAGAUCCGGGUCUCAGGGAGUCACCAGCGACGGCGUCACGUGCCAGAGUCGUCAAUAUCCUGGAUAGCCUGUUGGACCUGGGAAGGAACAUGUUCCCGGACAAUCUGUUUCAAGCGGCUUUUCAGCAGGCACACACUGUGUAUGUCCCGAAGCAGCAGUCGAUCCUGAACGACUCGGUGAAGGUGCUUCCGGAGAGUCUCCCCGAAGAAGAACUGACCAGGGUGGUGCGGUACAGAAGUGGCACCAAUACGUUGGGCAUCGUAUUCUUUUGUCUAGUGUUCGGCACCUUCCUGGGCACUCUAGGCGAGAAGGGUCAAGUAGUGAUCGACUUCUUCAAGGCGGUAUUCGAGGUGAUAAUGCGAAUGGUCUCCAGCGUGAUGUGGUUGACACCGUUGGGAAUAACAUCAGUGAUCGCCGGUAAGAUACUCGGGGUCGAUGAUCUUGGUCUCGUGAUGUCGCAGCUGGCCUGGUUCAUCGUUACCGUCGUCGUCGGCGUCUUCUUCUAUCAGCUGGUUAUCAUGCAGCUGAUCUAUCUCGCCUUUGUCCGCAAGAACCCCUUUAAGUUCUACGCGGGUCUGGCCCAGGGCACCCUCACCGCCUUCGCCAUGGCUUCAACGGCCGCCGCUCUUCCCAUCACCUUUCGGCUGAUGAACGAAAAGCUCCGGGUCGAUCCGCGGAUCACGAGAUUCGUCCUGCCCAUCGGUUGCAACAUAAACAUGGACGGCACUGCUCUCUUCGUCGCUGUAGCCAGCAUCUUCAUCGCUCAAAUGAACGGGAUCUACCUCGGCUUUGGAGAGAUCAUCACUGUGAUACUGACCUCGACUGCCGCUUCCGUUUCAUCCGCAUCGGUGCCCAGCGCAGCUUUGGUACUUCUUCUAGUUGUCCUCAGCGCAAUCGACGCUCCUGUUCAGGACGUCUCGCUUCUAUUUGCUAUCGACUGGUUUGUCGAUCGCGUUCGAACCACGAAUAACAUGCUGGGCGAUUGUUACGCGGCUGCGGUUGUCGAACAGUUGUCGAAAAAGGAACUCAUGGCGGUUGACGCUGCCGCGUAUCAGUCAGAGACUAAGGUAGGGCCAUUUUUUACACACAGUCAGAAGCUGUUCUGCCCACCACAGUUGCAAAUGGCUGCAUUUCGGCGAGCAGAGUACCGGACCCAGACACCGUGAUCGUCGAGAUGCAGGAUGAUUCAAAGAAGAACGGCAUCGCCAAGUAAACAUGCUUGUUGCGGAGCGACGAAGGCGACAAAACCGAUCAACGAGGAGACGGUUUAACGUAAUGAGCGUAUCAUCUGACGUGGUAGAUUUGCUGGAAUUAAAACAGUAAGGUAGCACCUAGCGAUGAGGUUACUUAUUCACGGACUAGAAGGGUAUAUUGAAGUUGAACUUGUUAGUGAGAGGGCAACGAUUUUUUGUAACAUUAUAACACAUCUGCGCCCCGUAUGUAAUGAGCUAGCUUUUACGCUAGUACAUGAAUCAUAUGCAGCGUCAGGUACGCUACGAAAUGAAAAAUAAUACAGUUACAAAAGUAGGGUACGUUUAUUUUUUUUUUUUAUCAUUGUUAGAAAACAGAGAAAAAGAGAGAGAAAGAGUGAAAGUCAAGUCCUACAACAGUUAAAAUUAAUAUGUAAUCAUAGAUUGUAGAGUACCGAGACCCUCCGUGUUUUUAUAAUUUUAUAGUUUCAACAAUUUGCGGUUGUUCGCAAAUACAUAAGUAUGCAAUACACUUUUAGUAUACGUAGCAAAAAAGGCCUAUAAGAUAUCGAUGAAACGGUGAAUUAUUGGAAUCUCGUACGCUUCUGGUGAUUCAUUAAAGUAAUUUACAUAUUCGUCUCAUAUUUUGUAAAAGAAUAUGUAUAAUUAUUAUUUUUUUUUCUUUUGAAUCAUGAAGAAAACACAUCAAAAAGUUACGAAAAUUCCUGGUACCGGAAGGGUGCAGUUGUUACUUGAACAAAUUGUUACAACAUUUGCAAUGUGAAUUAAAUUCGCGAUCAUGUUACUGGCAAUAAUAUGUAUGAGUGCGGAAAAGAUGCCGCGGUGUUAAUUCAAUUGUAAAAAAUCAGGUAGCUUGGAAUUUUAAUAGGCUCCAUAAACUCCCAUCUAUUGGAAAUACAUGAUCCACAUCACUCUACAAAAUGCGGAAACACUAAACUUGGUCCAGUAACGGAGAACUUUGCAAAAAGCUUGUCAAAAGUUUAGUGUAAAUGAAGCGUCGCUGUACACGACUGAGUAACUUGACAGAUCUGGCAAGAACCGAGAACAAGUUACUACAGGAUCGUGUGACGGCAAGCGUGACGUAUUCUCCUAUAUUUAAUGCAAAAGCAACAAUAUUGACGUAUACAACAUAUAAACUAACCGAUAAUGCAUAAUAAUAGUAAUAGUAAUGGUGAAAAAAUGACGUGAAAUAUUAACUGAGAAAAAUUGUACUUUUAUAUUUGUCACUUCUUAGGGUCAAAUUGUCAAUAUAAUGAAAGUGUAGUUUAGGUAUAUCACUGUGAUACGUGUAAUCGAACCCGUACAUUCCAGGAACACUUGUUUCGGGGAUUAUCCAACUUCAGUAAUUAAGGUUCUCGCGACCUACAAGUUCCGCUAAAUGACAUGACUUCAGGUCAAACGAUAGGCUGAUUUCACCCCAUCACUUGGCCAACAAAUAAAUACGAGUGCUGUUCGCCAAGAACAGCGUGUGUUCAGAAACAUCAACAAGCGUAUGCAAUUAAUGAACUUUCUCUGAAGCCAUAAGGUCAGUGAAACUCGUAUAGUCUAAUGUGUACCCCAGUCAUACGAUUGCCUUGCGUUACACUUUCAGAUCCAGAACAAUAGAGUACAAAGUGCCAGCUGAGGUGAAUCGGUUAUUUUUUCUAGCAGCGGUACCGUUCAGGGUGGUUGUAAAUGGAGUUCAUAUACCAGUUCAAGGACAUAUCCAAUUAGAGUAACAGGGGAAUUGAGUGAAUUUACGACUUUCUGAAAACACGACGAAAGGUUUCAAAACUAUCAUGGAGUAAAUUUCGUCCCCGGAACAAGUAGUUGCAAUUAGCGUAGCUCGAUUAAGAUCCAGCAUUAAAACUUUCGUUCGUACAUUCGCGAUUGGAAACUAAAGAAAAUUCGAGUGUGGUGCCUUAUUUUGACGUUUAAAAGGUGCUGGAUUUGUGAAAGUAUAUUUUGAAAAUUGGUUUCCACCGUCGGCGCACGAUCUUUGAAAGAUCGGGUCGGACAUCGGACGAGACUCUCUGACAUAAUUUGAAUAACUGAUAAAAAUGUAUCCAAGAUCGGUGACUCGAUCGAAAUAAAGUCGGUAUAUAAUUUC
RNA transcript from Neodiprion virginianus, 4599 nucleotides. It is a transcript of the gene named excitatory amino acid transporter, with no coding region annotated. NCBI's taxonomy places the organism in Eukaryota, Metazoa, Arthropoda, Insecta, Hymenoptera, Diprionidae. The record is from RefSeq and is a predicted model, not a curated record. The transcript is spliced from 11 exons.